RNAcentral lists this ribosomal RNA (735 nucleotides) under Parachloritis pseudolandouria. RNAcentral describes it as "partial 16S ribosomal RNA". The stretch from base 347 to 498 matches the Rfam family "Archaeal large subunit ribosomal RNA", at positions 1886 to 2087 of the family's 2987-position model. Lineage: Eukaryota; Metazoa; Mollusca; Gastropoda; Stylommatophora; Camaenidae. The record is from RNAcentral.
AAGUAUAAACUACACGAAACUGCAUGAGCUAAUCAUUAUCGUAAUACCAUUAUGUAACAUAAUAAUAAUAUGAAUAAAGAUUAGGGGUGAUAGGCCUUUCAAAUGCAAGAUAUCUUGAUUCUUAUGAUAUGUAAUAGUACAAAGACAAAUUAAGAGUUAUAAGGCUUUUAAUAAAAAUAAAUUUUAAUUAAAUAUAAUAAGCGGGUUUAAUAACCUGCAGAUUAUAAAUUAUAACAUAAAUAGUGAGUGAAUUAUUUAAACUAAUAAGAUUCAACAAAUUUUAAAAUUUGAUAAUAAUGUUUUCAUUAGUAUUAAGAAGUUAUUGAUAGUGAAUUCGGCACUUUGCUUUCAACUGUUUACCAAAAACAUAGCCACGUGGAAAUACAUGUGGUAAGUUCUGCUCAAUGAUAUUUAAAUAGCCGCAGUACCCUGACUGUGCAAAGGUAGCGUAAUCAUUUGUCUCUUAAUUGGAGUCCCGUAUGAAAGAAUUAAUGAGGGCAAUCUUUACCAUUAAUAAAAUUAAAAAUUACUUAGUGGGUGCAAAUACCCAUAGUAUAACAAUAGACGAGAAGACCCUAGAAAUUUAUAUAGAUGUUUUGUUGGGGCAACAUAGUAGCAAGCAAAUCUACUAUAAGUAUAUGACACAUUAUAGGAAAGUUAAAUUACUCUAGGGAUAACAGCAUAAUCUAUAAAUGUUUGUGACCUCGAUGUUGGAUUAGGGAGUUGUUGUUUAGA